Molecule: ribosomal RNA, 465 nt
Filed under: uncultured bacterium
Lineage: Bacteria
Description: partial 16S ribosomal RNA
Rfam family: Bacterial small subunit ribosomal RNA
Source: RNAcentral
GACGAACGCUGGCGGCGUGCUUAACACAUGCAAGUCGAACGGUAAGGCUCCAGCUUGCUGGGGUACACGAGUGGCGAACGGGUGAGUAACACGUGGGUGACCUGCCCUGCACUUCGGGAUAAGCCUGGGAAACUGGGUCUAAUACCGGAUAGGACUGCACCGUGAGGGUGUGGUGGAAAGUUUUUGCGGUGUGGGAUGGGCUCGCGGCCUAUCAGCUUGUUGGUGGGGUAAUGGCCUACCAAGGCGGCGACGGGUAGCCGGCCUGAGAGGGUAGACGGCCACAUUGGGACUGAGGGACGGACCAGACUGCUACGGGAGGCAGCAGUGGGGAGUAUUGCACAAUGAGGGGAAGCCUGAUGCGGCGACGCCGCGUGGGGGAUGACGGCCUUCGGGUUGUAAACUCCUUUCACCAUAGACGAAGGGUUUCUGACGGUAGAUGGAGAAGAAGCACCGGCUAACUACGUG